CCUACGGGAGGCAGCAGUGGGGACUAUUUCACAAUGGGGGAAACCCUGAUGCAGCGACGCCGCGUGAGUGAAGAAGUAAUUCGUUACGUAAAGCUCUAUCAGCAGGGAAGAACCACUGACCUUACGGUCAGCAGACGGUACCUGAGUAAGAAGCACCGGCUAACUACGUGCCACCAGCCGCGGUAAUACGUAGGGGGCAAGCGUUAUCCGGAUUGACUGGAUGUAAAUGGAGCGUAGACGGUGCGCCAAGUCUGGAGUGAAAUGCCGCAGCUUAACUGCGGAACUGGUUUGGAAGCUGGCGAAAGAGAGUGCGGGAGGGGUAAGCGGAAUUCCUAGUGUAGCGGUGAAAUGCGUAGAUAUUAGGAGGAACACCGGUGGCGAAGGCGGCUUACUGGACCGUAACUGACGUUGAGGCUCGAAAGCGUGGGGAGCAAACAGGAUUAGAUACCCGGGUAGUC
This 458-nucleotide ribosomal RNA is filed under the name uncultured bacterium. Its description in RNAcentral is "partial 16S ribosomal RNA". It matches the Rfam family "Bacterial small subunit ribosomal RNA", at positions 338 to 795 of the family's 1533-position model. The record is from RNAcentral.